GUGGGACUGAGUCCAGGGAGUAUGCAGUGCACAAGGACCCAGCUCAGGAAGGCACAGAGGCGAGGUCUGGCAUAUCCCCGCUGGAGAGAAACCCUUCAUCAACUUACAAUUCCCAGGCCAGCUUUGUCUUGGCUGUGAGAGUAUCCACAUGAUUCUGUAAAGAUAUAUGCUUGAAGGAAAGCUGGCAUCCAUCUUUGUUCCAGUUCCAAAGGUGCGGUGUUUGGUGAUUGGUGCUCCCCUGUGGCCCCUGUUUUCUAUCUGUGCACUUUUCUGCAAGAUGUUAAUUUGGAGUUCAAUUCUAUAUUACUAAUGAAAGAAAAAAAUGGAAAAAAAUCAAGGUUAGUAAAUAAAAGAG
This 355-nucleotide long non-coding RNA is filed under the name Lynx canadensis (Canada lynx). RNAcentral describes it as "lncRNA (ENSLCNG00005001063.1)". Lineage: Eukaryota; Metazoa; Chordata; Mammalia; Carnivora; Felidae. The record is from RNAcentral.